GACGAACGCUGGCGGCGUGCCUAACACAUGCAAGUCGAGCGGAGAUACAUUGAAGAGCAAUCAGAUAUGUAUCUUAGCGGCGGACGGGUGAGUAACGCGUGGGCAACCCGCCUCAUACUGGGGGAUAACACAGGGAAACUUGUGCUAAUACCGCAUAAUAUCAUUAUAGGGCAUCCUGUGAUGAUCAAAGGAGCGAUCCGGUGUGAGAUGGGCCCGCGUCCAAUUAGCUAGUUGGUGGGGUAACGGCCCACCAAGGCGACGAUUGGUAGCCGAACUGAGAGGUUGAUCGGCCACAUUGGGACUGAGACACGGCCCAGACUCCUACGGGAGGCAGCAGUGGGGAAUAUUGCGCAAUGGGGGAAACCCUGACGCAGCAACGCCGCGUGAAGGAUGAAGGUCUUCGGAUUGUAAACUUCUUUGAUGAGGGACGAACACAAUGACGGUACCUCAAAAACAAGCCACGGCUAACUACGUGCCAGCCGCCGCGGUAA
RNAcentral lists this ribosomal RNA (491 nucleotides) under uncultured bacterium. RNAcentral's name for it is "bacterial SSU rRNA". It matches the Rfam family "Bacterial small subunit ribosomal RNA", at positions 28 to 523 of the family's 1533-position model. The record is from RNAcentral.